RNAcentral lists this ribosomal RNA (465 nucleotides) under uncultured bacterium. Its description in RNAcentral is "bacterial SSU rRNA". It matches the Rfam family "Bacterial small subunit ribosomal RNA", at positions 329 to 792 of the family's 1533-position model. The record is from RNAcentral.
GGCCAGACUCCUACGGGAGGCAGCAGUGAGGAAUAUUGGUCAAUGGGCGAGAGCCUGAACCAGCCAAGUCGCGUGAGGGAUGACUGCCCUAUGGGUUGUAAACCUCUUUUGUAUGGGGGGAAUAAGCUUUACGAGUAGAGUGAUGACAGUACCAUACGAAUAAGCAUCGGCUAACUCCGUGCCAGCAGCCGCGGUAAUACGGAGGAUGCGAGCGUUAUCCGGAUUUAUUGGGUUUAAAGGGUGCGCAGGCGGAGGCACAAGUCAGCGGUAAAAUCGCGGGGCUCAACCCCGCUCCGCCGUUGAAACUGUGUCCCUUGAGUGCGCGAAGGGUAGGCGGAAUGCGUGGUGUAGCGGUGAAAUGCAUAGAUAUCACGCAGAACUCCGAUCGCGAAGGCAGCCUACCGGCGCGCAACUGACGCUCAUGCACGAAAGCGUGGGUAUCGAACAGGAUUAGAUACCCCUGUA